This 69-nucleotide transfer RNA is filed under the name Rattus norvegicus (Norway rat). It matches the Rfam family "tRNA". From Rfam's summary of the family: Transfer RNA (tRNA) molecules are approximately 80 nucleotides in length. Lineage: Eukaryota; Metazoa; Chordata; Mammalia; Rodentia; Muridae. The record is from Rfam by way of RNAcentral.
GGGGAUUUAGCUCAGUGGUAGAGCGCUUGCCUAGGAAGCGCAAGGCCCUGGGUUCGGUUCCCAGCACCG